Long non-coding RNA from Equus quagga, 2299 nucleotides. RefSeq lists it as uncharacterized. The record is from RefSeq and is a predicted model, not a curated record. The transcript has 3 exons. Lineage: Eukaryota; Metazoa; Chordata; Mammalia; Perissodactyla; Equidae.
UCUGGUUCCAGUGUCCCGGACGCUGCCUGGGCCGUGCUGGGAGGACGCAGCGCCAUCUCGUCGUCUGUCAGCACCACAACGGCUCUGACUCCGGCUGUGAGGACAGGAGGCCCGCCGUUGGGAGGGGCUGCUCGGCGGGGGCCUGUGAUGCGUGCUGGCGCCCGGGCCCCUGGCGGCCCUGCCCCGCGGCCUGCGGCUCGGUCCCGGAGGGUCGACUGCAUCCGCGCGCGGAGCUGCGCCCCGGUGGCCGCGAGGCGCUGCGCGCAGGGAGAGAAGCCCGCGUCCCGGCGGCGCUGCCUCGGGCCCCCCUGUGACAGAGACUGCACAGACGCCACACACCGCUGCAUGUUUGUGAAGCAUCUCAAUUUGUGUUCGCUAGGCGUCUACAGACGGAGGUGCUGCCGGUCAUGUCAAGAAGGAUAAACCUUUGGAGGGGUCCUGAUGCUGCUGUGAAGAUAAAAGAAAAAUGUAAAAGCUCUUUUCCCCAUGCACAGAAACGUGCAUUUCUUCCAAACUCUAGAUUCUGCGAUGGGAGGUGGAUGCAACAUCACCAGCGUUCAGCUCUUGCAGCGUCAUUUUCCCGCGGCCGGCUGUUAAUUCCGACUCUUUCCAUGAUGUGCUCGAGGACUAACAAAAAUGCCGCGGCGCGUGGGCCCUCACCACGUCCUUGUGAUGGGGAAGCACGAGGGGGCCAGUGCCUUGUCAAGUGCUGCUGCUUCCUGUGCUUAGUAGCCUCCUACAGAGAGGGCGUCCUGAAGACCUGGGGACACACAGCAGCUGACUUCCCCCCUCAAGGUUUAGGGUUUCGACAGGCUCACGAGGCAUCUACGCUUCAGAAGCUCCAGCCAGUAGUUGUGACGGUGUUGGAUCCUUGAGUUCCGUCUGUGAAAGAGACAGUCACUCUGGACAGGCUUGUGACACUGACUGGUCCAGGGACGUGGCGGGUGGCGCCUGUCCUUGCUCUGAGGGAACCCAUGGGAGAAAACGCAGAGUAGAUGUUGCUGCCAUUUUCACAACUACGGAAAUCGAUCUGUGACCAAAGGAGGCGCCCUGGAAACCACAGGAGAGGGAAAGUUAACCUUUUCUACUGAUUUUGGAGUCUAUUCAAAGCUUUCUUUUAAGAGCUGUGAAUGAAAAGUUUUUGUAAGCACUAUUCUCUUGCACACAAACACAAAAUCAAAGCCCUGUUAGACCUAAUUUAUGCAUAAAAUAGUAUUCCUAAGGAUUUUUAUUUUGGAAAAAUUAUAAGAAAGUAAUCUAAAUAUGAAACCUGAUAGCUGAAAAGAAUUGUUUAUAGUAAAUAAUUGUUUUGAUUUGAACUGAUUUUUCAGUAAAUCCGAAGUGAAUUAGGGUCAGGCUGGAAGUUGCAGUUAGGACUGGGGGUGAGAGUUAGGAUUGGGUGACAAGUUCAGGAUUAGGAUUCGGUUAGUGAGAACGGAAGUUCAGUUAGGGUUAAGGCUGGAGUUGGCUAUCGGGUUAGGGUUAGGGUUAGGGUCAGGGCCAGGUUAGGUCAGUCCAGCUGGGUGUAGAUUGGGGCCAGCGCUGGUGUUACGGUCGGGGCAGAGGUUAAGUCUGGGGUGAAUGUUGCUGCUGAAGCAGUCUGGGGCUCGCAUUAAAUCGUAAGCUCUGAGGCUGACGUGGUCAUGGGCUCUUGCCCUUGCAUUCUACCAGUGACAGCUUCGGACGGCACAUGACCCCAACAGGUGGUCAUACGUCCUCCUCCCGCGUCCCAGCGCUGGGCCGCACGCUGCCUACAGUCUGUUGGCCACAAAGUUCCCUGAAGGAGGUGGUGCUGGACCGCGUGCCCGGUCACCAGCACUGAGCAGCGCCUGCGGCUUUGGAUGCGUCUGCGGACGAGCGUGCCGAGUCCCGGCCGCCCUCCGAGCCCCAGGUCUCCUGUUCUGACUCCAGCCUCGCUGACACUGGGGUGAGCACUACUGUACGCAGAGGGUCUGGUGUCUGGGCGGGCGGGGACGUGAAGGGCACACACCAGCCCGUGGGUGUGAGUCAUCAGUCACACUUGGUUGGUGAGGUUUGUAAAUUAAAAGAAAGAUCAUUUGUAAAAUACUCUUUGUAUAUAUUUAUUAUAUGACUUAAAGGUGCAAUAUUUUAUUUUGUACAGUAUGUAAUAAAGACAUGGGACAUAUAUUUUUCUUAUUAACAAAAUUUCUUAUUAAAUUGCUUCACCUUUGUAUUUAAAGUUAAAACUUGCUGUUUUUCAUUUGCUAUUGUACUUUUUCUUGUUAUUAUUCAAAUGACAUUCCUGUGUACUGUAUUUUACUACUAUUUCUGUAACAUA